Molecule: unclassified non-coding RNA, 530 nt
Filed under: plant metagenome
Description: partial contains 5.8S ribosomal RNA, internal transcribed spacer 2, and large subunit ribosomal RNA
Rfam family: 5.8S ribosomal RNA (bases 1-106)
Source: RNAcentral
GAAAUGCGAUACGUAAUGCGAAUUGCACAACUCAGUGAAUCAUCGAAAUUUUGAACGCACAUUGCGCUGUGACAGUCAAUGCCACAGCAUGCCUGGUCGAGUGUCGAUUCCAAACCUAUUAUAUAACAUUAUAUUUUUUUGUAAUGUUUUUGAUAAUAGAUUUGAUGAGAGUCAGUGUCUAGUAGUGUUCUUCUUCCAAAGAACAAAAGACAUCGUCUCUUUAAAUCGACGUUGUUGGGGACUAGAAAAACUCCUUUAUACCCUAUUGUGAGAUAGAGUCAAGGGGGAUUCAUAACACACACACAUUUUUUGUGUGUGUGCGUGUGGAUCCCAGAUUUCCCCAUGUGGUAAACACCUCAUGCGGUUAGAAGUCGCUUCCUAGACUUAAUAUUAUAUCCUUUCAUAAUAGUUGGUUAUUGUUUUUUGAAACUCAAACUCUGUAACCACACUGUCAAGAAAAAAACCAAUCUUUAUUGAUUUUUUCUUCGGACAGACCUCGGCUCAGGCAAGACUACCCGCUGAAUUUAAGC